Molecule: long non-coding RNA, 679 nt
Organism: Xiphophorus couchianus (Monterrey platyfish)
Lineage: Eukaryota; Metazoa; Chordata; Actinopteri; Cyprinodontiformes; Poeciliidae
Exons: 2
Source: RefSeq, a predicted model, not a curated record
AGUAUCUCGUUGAUUGGGAGGGCUAUGGCCCGGAGGAGCGCCGCUGGAUCCCUGGUUCGUUCAUUUUGGAUUCGGGUUUGAUCACUGACUAUCGCUCUUCUUUGCCUGCCGGGUCGUCUCGGCCGCCAGGUGGCGACCGUUAGGGGGGGGUACUGUCAGGAGUUGGGGUUUUUGUUUUGCCUUUUUUGUUUUUUCCGUUCCUAUGGCUUGCCAUCACCACCAGAUGGCACCAUGGAGGCUAGGAUAGGAGGACUGAAGGGCUGACGUCACCAUCACACCGGUUCCCAAUCCACUCGUCAGCGGGACUUCAAGAGACGGCGACUGCCAGCAUACCAACGCUUGAGUGUUAGCCAGUAAUGGUAACCCAGAGCCCUCUCCAGCGAUCUAGUCGAGCUUCCAGUUUAUUCGUUUCUAACGCCAUCUGUUGUUUGGAUAUUUUUUCAGCCGUUCCCGCAACUUCAGAAGGGGAGUCUGGGGAUCCAAGCAGGCAGUCUGCUCGCUCUCCUUGUCAACGUCUGGAUCCUUUACCUGUCCGCCCUCCACCUCCAGCAUCCACGCACCUGGCAUCGACGUUGAUUCGUUUUUCUCUCCGAAAGUCCUGGCUUACCUGUCCGUCGCUGUCCCUUUGAUGUUUGAGAACCUGCCCUGGAAAUUAUUGUAAAUAAAUCACUUUACCUGA